CUGGGCCAAAUUAAACCAAACUUGGCCACAAUCAUCAUUGGGGUAUUUAGUUUAAAAAAUGUGUGGCGUGACCCAGCCAACCAACCAAGAUGGCCGCCAUGGCUAAAAAUAGAACAUAGGGGUAAAAUGCAGUUUUUGGCUUAUAACUCAAAAACCAAAGCAUUUAGAGCAAAUCUGACAUGGGUAAAAUUGUUUAUCAGGUCAAGAUCUAUCUGCCCUGAAAUUUUCAGAUGAAUCGGACGACCUGUUGUUGGGUUGCUGCCCCUGAAUUGGUAAUUUUAAGGAAAUUUUGCAGUUUUUGGUUAUUAUCUUGAAUAUUAUUAUAGAUAGAGAUAAACUGUAAACAGCAAUAAUGUUCAGCAAAGUAAGAUUUACAAAUAAGUCAACAUGACCGAAAAGGUCAGUUGACCCCUUUAGGAGUUAUUGCCCUUUAUAGUCAAUUUUUAACCAUUUUUCGUAAAUCUUAGUAAUCUUUUACAAAAAUCUUCUUCUCUGAAACUACUGGGCCAAAUUAAACCAUACUUGGCCACAAUCACAAUUGGGGUAUCUAGUUUAAAAAAUGUGUGGCGUGACCCGGCCAACCAACCAAGAUGGCCGCCACAGCUAUAAAUAGAACAUAGGGGUAAAAUUCAGUUUUUGGCUUAUAACUCAAAAACCAAAGCAUUUAGAGCAAAUCUGACGGGGUAAAAAUGAUUAUCAGGUCAAGAUCUAUCUGCCCUGAAAUUUACAGAUGAAUCGGACAACCUGUUGUUGGGUUGCUGCCCCUGAAUUGGUAAUUUUAAGGAAAUUUUGCUGUUUUUGGUUAUUUAUCUUGAAUAUUAUUAUAGAUAGAGAUAAACUGUAAACAGCAAUAAUGUUCAGCAAAGUAAGAUUUACAAAUAAGUCAACAUGACUGAAAUGGUCAGUUGACCCCUUUAGGAGUUAUUGCCCUUUAUAGUCAAUUUUUAACCAUUUUUUGUAAAUCUUAGUAAUCUAUUACAAAAAUCUUCUCCUCUGAAACCACUGUGCCAAAUUAAACCAAACUUGGCCACAAUCAUCAUUGGGGUAUCUAGUUAAAAAAAUGUGUGGCGUGACCCGGUCAACCAACCAAGAUGGCCGCCACGGCUAAAAAUAGAACAUAGGGGUAAAAUUCAGUUUUUGGCUUAUAACUCAAAAAUCAAAGCAUUUAGAGCAAAUCUGACAUAAGUAAAAAUGAUUAUCAGGUCAAGAUCUAUCUGCCCUGAAAUUUUCAGAUGAAUCGGACGACCUGUUGUUGGGUUGCUGCCCCUGAAUUGGUAAUUUUAAGGAAAUUUUGCUGUUUUUGGUUAUUAUCUUGAAUAUUAUUAUAGAUAGAGAUAAACUGUAAACAGCAAUAAUGUUCAGCAAAGUAAGAUUUACAAAUAAGUCAACAUGACUGAAAUGGUCAGUUGACCCCUUUAGGAGUUAUUGCCCUUUAUAGUCAAUUUUGAACCAUUUUUCGUAAAUCUUAGUUAUCUUUUACAAAAAUCUUCUCCUCUGAAACUACUGGGCCAAGUUCAUUAUAGAUAGAGAUAAUUGUAAGCAGCAAGAAUGUUCAGUAAAGUAAGAUUUACAAACACAUCACCAUCACCAAAAACACAAUUUUGUCAUGAAUCCAUCUGCGUCCUUUGUUUAAUAUUCACAUAGACCAAGGUGAGCGACACAGGCUCUUUGGAGCCUCUAGUUUU
This 1685-nucleotide long non-coding RNA is filed under the name Mytilus galloprovincialis (Mediterranean mussel). Lineage: Eukaryota; Metazoa; Mollusca; Bivalvia; Mytilida; Mytilidae. The record is from RNAcentral.